This 354-nucleotide ribosomal RNA is filed under the name uncultured bacterium. RNAcentral describes it as "partial 16S ribosomal RNA". It matches the Rfam family "Bacterial small subunit ribosomal RNA", at positions 338 to 690 of the family's 1533-position model. The record is from RNAcentral.
CCUACGGGCGGCAGCAGUGAGGAAUAUUGGUCAAUGGUCGGGAGACUGAACCAGCCAAGCCGCGUGAGGGAGGAAGGUACAGAGUAUCGUAAACCUCUUUUGUCAGGGAACAAAGGCGGGGACGUGUCCCCGGAUGAGUGUACCUGAAGAAAAAGCAUCGGCUAACUCCGUGCCAGCAGCCGCGGUAAUACGGAGGAUGCGAGGGUUAUCCAGAUUAAUUGGGUUAAAAGGGUGCGAGGGCGGUCUGUAAAGUCAGCGGUCAAAGCCCGGGGCCCAACCCCGGCCCGCCGUUGAAACUGGCAGUCUCGAGUUGGAGAGAAGUAUGCGGAAUGCGCGGUGUAGCGGUGAAAUGCA